GGGGGAGUUAAUUUUAUUUUAUUCUAUUUAGGUUUUGAUUCUGCCCUCAACCCUGCUGAGCACUAUGACUAACAUGUCACGUGGGCCGUUCUGUCUCCAGGGUGAGAUCAAAUAAAAGAAACCUGAGAGCAGUCGCUUGGUGACAGAUCUAAGAGCAUGCAGGCAACCACUGGCUGCGAACAUCAAAGGUCUCAUUCCUGUAUAUACAGAGGCUGCUAAUUCCAGUCAGGGAAGAAAAGCCCAGCCUAGCAUGACCAGCAUUCAGACAUGUGGAAAGGGAGAGGAGGACUUUGCAAAAUAUAACUACUUCAAAGCUAACUACUACCUUUUACACUCAAGUGGACACUACUAACAGUGUCUCGGCAGGCUCUCACUCCUGACCUCAGGCAAUAUACUAACAAAAUGCAGAAGUCCUAGGUGUUUAGCAGGUGCCUUGAAAUGAUGGUCUCUCAUAAUUUUAUCCAAGACAUUCCACCCUAGAGUCAAAGGGCAACAAACUGGGGUGACCCAGGGGCUCCAAGCCAUUUCCCCAAGUGUCCUGCUCUGUGUCCUUGGGGCUUUGAGAAGAUUUUCCCCCUGAAGUGACUCUUCCCACCUAGCAAAUCUCAGUCUAACUAAUGCUACAACUAGUCCUUGCAGCUUAGUGGGGGAAGGCUCCAUCAACUCUCAGAUUCUCUCAGGCCUGCAAAAGGACAGAGAUCUGCCAAUUUUGUGAGAAUGGAAUGCCCAUGGUUGUCAGCACCCCUGAAAUCACUCAGCACAAAACAAUCACUAAGGCAUAAAACAGAAUAAGAUUUAUUACAUGGGAUAGGAAGAACACACAAG
This is a long non-coding RNA of Alligator sinensis (Chinese alligator), 825 nucleotides long. RefSeq lists it as uncharacterized. The record is from RefSeq and is a predicted model, not a curated record. The transcript is spliced from 3 exons. Lineage: Eukaryota; Metazoa; Chordata; Crocodylia; Alligatoridae.